UGGGGAAUAUUGGACAAUGGGCGAAAGCCUGAUCCAGCCAUGCCGCGUAUGUGAAGAAGGUCUUCGGAUUGUAAAGCACUUUAAGUUGGGAGGAAGGGCAUUAACCUAAUACGUUAGUGUUUUGACGUUACCGACAGAAUAAGCACCGGCUAACUCUGUGCCAGCAGCCGCGGUAAUACAGAGGGUGCAAGCGUUAAUCGGAAUUACUGGGCGUAAAGCGCGCGUAGGUGGUUUGUUAAGUUGGAUGUGAAAUCCCCGGGCUCAACCUGGGAACUGCAUUCAAAACUGACUGACUAGAGUAUGGUAGAGGGUGGUGGAAUUUCCUGUGUAGCGGUGAAAUGCGUAGAUAUAGGAAGGAACACCAGUGGCGAAGGCGACCACCUGGACUAAUACUGACACUGAGGUGCGAAAGCGUGGGGAGCAAACA
This 427-nucleotide ribosomal RNA is filed under the name uncultured bacterium. RNAcentral's name for it is "partial 16S ribosomal RNA". It matches the Rfam family "Bacterial small subunit ribosomal RNA", at positions 355 to 774 of the family's 1533-position model. The record is from RNAcentral.